This 732-nucleotide unclassified non-coding RNA is filed under the name Centaurea litardierei. Its description in RNAcentral is "partial external transcribed spacer". Lineage: Eukaryota; Viridiplantae; Streptophyta; Magnoliopsida; Asterales; Asteraceae. The record is from RNAcentral.
UGCGCAUCACCUCUUGCUUGUCUAGAUCAGCCCGGACGUUGGCAUGUGUAGCGUAUUUUGUCGGGUUUCGAGAUCAAGAAUCGAUGUCCCUUUGUUGGUUGGUUUUCCGAGAAUCCUUGACCCUUGAUUUGUUACUUUCGCAUCGUUUGGUGCAUGUUUUCCGAGAAUCCUUGACCCUUGAUUUGUUGCUUUCGCAUCGUUCGGUGCAUGUUUUCCGAGAAUCCUUGACCCUUGAUUUGUUACUUUCGCAUCGUUCGGUGCAUUCUGGGGGAUGUUUUGGCUUUUGGUGGCUUACUUGGCCUUUUGGCUGGGUUUGUUGCUAUUGGUCGGGCGGCUUUCGGGAAUGUCGACCGUGGAGGUGCAUGAGUGGUGUUUGGUUUGUUACGUGUGGAUGGCUGUUUGCUUGCGCAACAACGUUCACGCUGCAUACCUCUUCAGUUUUGCGGCAAGGCUUGGUUUGGCUUGUGCAUAUUGUGGGUUUCCUGUGUUGCAUACCUAGUUGAAGGAAAAGUGUGGGUUUUACGAUUUUCAUUUUCGUCUUGCGUCGUUCUUUCGGCAUGGGAUGAGCAAUGAAGCGAUCUUUAUGAUCCAUCGUGCUGUUGUGUUUGCAACAAUGAUGUGGCCUAUGAAGCAUCGUUUGGUCUCUUGUAUACGGAAGCUCAUUUGGGCUUGGGUCUUCAUAAGAUCUUCGUUAUGCCCUUGUUAAGCGUUCUCGCUUCUCCUAAACGAUUG